UACGGAGGGGGCUAGCGUUGUUCGGAAUUACUGGGCGUAAAGCGCACGUAGGCGGCCAUUCAAGUCAGAGGUGAAAGCCCAGGGCUCAACCCUGGAAUUGCCUUUGAAACUAGAUGGCUUGAACACGGGAGAGGUGAGUGGAAUUCCGAGUGUAGAGGUGAAAUUCGUAGAUAUUCGGAAGAACACCAGUGGCGAAGGCGGCUCACUGGACCGUUGUUGACGCUGAGGUGCGAAAGCGUGGGGAGCAAACAGG
This 253-nucleotide ribosomal RNA is filed under the name uncultured bacterium. Its description in RNAcentral is "partial 16S ribosomal RNA". It matches the Rfam family "Bacterial small subunit ribosomal RNA", at positions 524 to 776 of the family's 1533-position model. The record is from RNAcentral.